CCCCAGGGAGGGGUCAUGCUGAUACAAGCCAAAUUGGACAAAACUGACAUGUAGACAACCAAUUGAGCUAGCAUGCCACUCCAAAAUUUCAUCAGUGGAAUUCAUACUGUAUUUAGCUUAGGCCAAGUGCUUCUGGCUGAAGCAUGAGGCAUUUAGCAGAUGCUAAUAUUCUAUUCAUGGGUGUUAUCUAGAGCAAAUAAAAUUUGACAGCUGACCAGUCUAUAACUUCAUUUCCACGCAUACUCACACACACGCCUCCCCACCACCACCAGCAACUUCACAACAACAUCCUGUGAUAACUUCUUGUGUAACCAACCACUCUAACUUUUUCUAUGCACUGAGUAGAUGCACCAACUAACAGUUCUUUAUCCUUCAGUUUAUAGCUUGCAUCUAGGUGGCUCAGGCUCUAAGGAGAGCCUGUGCCCCUCAUCAGAGACAGGUUCAGGAGUGCUAAUGUUAGUUUUUGGCACUUGGCACUACCUCCUGCCAUUUGUAACACGGUGAUGGGACUCCAAAGAAGGCUUUGGAGAUACCAAAACACUGCUGUGNNNNN
Molecule: long non-coding RNA, 553 nt
Filed under: Hordeum vulgare
Lineage: Eukaryota; Viridiplantae; Streptophyta; Magnoliopsida; Poales; Poaceae
Description: long non-coding RNA (HVUL_LNC009120)
Source: RNAcentral